Molecule: long non-coding RNA, 614 nt
Organism: Rhinopithecus roxellana (golden snub-nosed monkey)
Lineage: Eukaryota; Metazoa; Chordata; Mammalia; Primates; Cercopithecidae
Exons: 3
Source: RefSeq, a predicted model, not a curated record
GUGAGAACAGGGGCAAGCAUUGGCCUGGGUACUCAGCGCUGCUGCCUCUGGAAGGUCCAAGUUCUUCAGGAGAUUUUAGUGGAUGAGAAGGAAGUAGCCUUGGUGAAGCUCUAUGGUUCCGAAUGCAAGUGGAGAAAAGGGCAGCCGGCAUGUGGGAAGACUGAAAGGCAAAGAUCAUCCCAGUGAGACCCAGAUUUCAGCUGAGGUCUGGGGGCUGAGAGAGUCUACCAUGGAGUAGAAGUCCAGAAGAGGUCAGAGAGGAUGAAGAGAGCCAGAAAUGGGCAUUGGGUCAAUCAAGCAAGCCAUGCUUCUGCCCUGCAAAGCCUCCGUAUCAUACCCAAAAAAUCACAAGUAAGUAAGUAAGAGCUUCAAAUAACUUUUCUCCCUCAGCCAAGGUUAACUAUAAAAUGACCCAAAUAUGCUUAACAGACCAAAAAAAAAAAAAAGUAUUGGCUAAUGAAUGGAACUAUUUACAACUCUAUUUUUGCAAAUAGAAUCAAAAGCUAGAUAUUGAAUUAAGUGAAUUGUUUCUACAGUUUAAACAGGAAGCAGAAUUGGUUUCCCACAGAGCCAUUUGCCUGACAAGAUAGGAGGGACAAGGAAGGGGAGAGACC